GAUGAGAGAGUGCGGCGCGAGCGCUCGAGUGUGCCGCGCGCGGAAGCGGGCGCCCCAAAUACACCGCGCGCCCAACUUGUUAUAGCGCGCGCGCGGUUUUUGCGCGCCCGCUGGAGCCUCCCGCCGCGUCGCGCGCGCUAAAACGGCCUAAUUUGCGACGCGACGCUAGUUUAGCGCGACUGUUGGAGAUGCUCUAAAAGUCAGCAGAACAUUAGUCUUCUUACAAAGAAACAACAGCAAAAAAGAAAAAUUAUAAUGAGAUUUGAAGAAUUCCAUAAGCUUGACAUCAACACAUGUCACCAGCCUCCGGUACCAUCACAUCAAUCACCAAAUUAAAAAAUAUAAGGGGUCACGUUAAGGAUGUCGUAGACCGGGGCACUAACACGAGCUGUUUGGACCUCACGGGCCAAUCUGAUGCCCGUCAAGCCACCUCCUGAAGCGCCAAGACUCGCUAGUAUGAAGAAAGGAACCCUCCAAGACUUAGAGUAUCCCAAGGAUGUCUCUAUAUUCGGCAUGUCUCCAACCAACUUAAACAUGUAACUUAGCUUCCCCUGGAUACAUUCUUCUUAGGAUUUAGAGAUUACACAAUGAUCUCGAGGUUGAUCAUCACUCUGUACUCGAUACCCCAUUAUCAAUACAAUCAAAGCAAGAUAUAGGAUUUUACCUCUUCGAGAGGGCCCGAACCUGGGUAAUCAUUGUCUUCCUACUCUCCUUGUUACGAUCACUAGUGCAACCAUCGUGCUAUACAAAUAGGUUUUGCCCCCUUCCUACAACAUAAUUCUAAACCGUCACCUUGCCCGUGUCUGUGUGGGUGAUAGGGGGCCUAUCUUACACAGUAUAGAUAAAUCAUUGUGAUGCCUCCAUCUGGUCACACACGCUAGGCAAAAAUAAAGCGUGUGCGAUUAAGAGGAACAUCACAAACAGACAUAUUGAAGAAAUCGUGUGAGAUAUGCUUCGCAUCCCA
Molecule: long non-coding RNA, 964 nt
Filed under: Hordeum vulgare
Lineage: Eukaryota; Viridiplantae; Streptophyta; Magnoliopsida; Poales; Poaceae
Description: long non-coding RNA (HVUL_LNC010924)
Source: RNAcentral